Molecule: ribosomal RNA, 253 nt
Filed under: uncultured bacterium
Lineage: Bacteria
Description: partial 16S ribosomal RNA
Rfam family: Bacterial small subunit ribosomal RNA
Source: RNAcentral
UACGUAGGGUGCAAGCGUUAAUCGGAAUUACUGGGCGUAAAGCGUGCGCAGGCGGUUUUGUAAGUCUGUCGUGAAAGCCCCGGGCUCAACGUGGGAAUUGCGUUGGAGACUGCAAGGCUAGAAUCUGGCAGAGGGGGGUAGAAUUCCACGUGUAGCAGUGAAAUGCGUAGAGAUGUGGAGGAACACCGAUGGCGAAGGCAGCCCCCUGGGUCAAGAUUGACGCUCAUGCACGAAAGCGUGGGGAGCAAACAGG